AAAUGUGUGCUGUGGUGUAGGUUCAGGCUUUUGUGUUGGGAGUGCCUGAGAGAAAAUGUGGGGUCAUGACCAAUAAACUGAUUCUUUAAAUAUAAAAGCAGGCACAUGAAGGGGUACAGGGAUCUGCACCUGGAAGUUGCAAACAGAGGUUAAAACGUGGCGACAGCUGUCCGGCACCCACCUCAUCGCUCCGAUGCAGGGUCAUCCCGGCUUGUUCGACGCUCCAAAUGCUGAGAAGCUCAUUGCACGAGGCUUUGUUCAGAUUUGCUCAUCCUAGAGUUAUUACAGAGUGUUCAGGGCCUCUUUCGAGUGAAUCUCCCUGAACAUGGCAACAAAGCUGCACAUCUUUUCAUGAGGAGCACAAACUCUCUCCAAGAACAUUCAGCCUGGUUUGGUACGCCGUGACAUGGCUUUGUUUCUUCACCAGGGGUUUGCACUGACUGAGCACUAGUAUGUGAACGCUUCGCUUGCAAGUCUCCAGUUCCUAGUCUUAGUUGGGUUUUAGAAACAGAUGUGGAAUCAGCCCUUAAGGACAACUUCCAUGUACUGUGAAGAGAAACUGAUCAUGUACAGAAUGCUAAUUUAUAAGAUCACACUCAUUGUCAUCAAUCUAGUUGGGCUCAAUGUUGGUACUAAUGCCAGGUUUAGGUCUGAGGUAGAGGCUGGGGUUAAAGCCAGGUUCAGGGUUUGGGAAUGUCUAGAUGAAUUUAAUAGACAAUAAAAGUUAAAUGUCAGGUGCGCAUCUGUGGUGAACAUGAACAGCAACAAAGCUUUAAAGUUCUCAUUCUGCUUUUCUCUUAAACUCAACUUCUGUGAAGUCUAGUUUUAUGUGCUGUUUGAUGUGAAUGUUUCAUAAUGAAGUUUGAGCUUCAUGUGUUUUGAA
This is a long non-coding RNA of Pygocentrus nattereri (red-bellied piranha), 883 nucleotides long. RefSeq lists it as uncharacterized. Lineage: Eukaryota; Metazoa; Chordata; Actinopteri; Characiformes; Serrasalmidae. The record is from RefSeq and is a predicted model, not a curated record. The transcript is spliced from 3 exons.